UACAGAGGGUGCGAGCGUUAAUCGGAAUUACUGGGCGUAAAGAGCACGUAGGUGGUUAUAUAAGUCACUUGUGAAAUGCCUGAGCUUAACUUGGGCCUGUCGAGUGAAACUGUAUAGCUUGAGUUCUGUAGAGGGUAGUGGAAUUUCUGGUGUAGCGGUGAAAUGCGUAGAUAUCAGAAGGAACACCCGUGGCGAAGGCGGCUACCUGGACAGAAACUGACACUGAGGUGCGAAAGCGUGGGUAGCGAACAGG
RNAcentral lists this ribosomal RNA (253 nucleotides) under uncultured bacterium. Its description in RNAcentral is "partial 16S ribosomal RNA". It matches the Rfam family "Bacterial small subunit ribosomal RNA", at positions 524 to 776 of the family's 1533-position model. The record is from RNAcentral.